This 491-nucleotide ribosomal RNA is filed under the name uncultured bacterium. Its description in RNAcentral is "partial 16S ribosomal RNA". It matches the Rfam family "Bacterial small subunit ribosomal RNA", at positions 28 to 507 of the family's 1533-position model. The record is from RNAcentral.
GAUGAACGCUGGCUACAGGCUUAACACAUGCAAGUCGAGGGGAAACGCCGGGGAAGCUUGCUUCCCCGGGCGUCGACCGGCGCACGGGUGAGUAACGCGUAUCCAACCUGCCUCUGACUGAGGGAUAACCCGUCGAAAGUCGGCCUAAUACCUCAUGGCAUCGUCUGCGGGCAUCCAACGACGAUUAAAGAUUUCAUCGGUCAGGGAUGGGGAUGCGUCUGAUUAGCUUGUUGGCGGGGUAACGGCCCACCAAGGCUACGAUCAGUAGGGGUUCUGAGAGGAAGGUCCCCCACAUUGGAACUGAGACACGGUCCAAACUCCUACGGGAGGCAGCAGUGAGGAAUAUUGGUCAAUGGGCGGGAGCCUGAACCAGCCAAGUAGCGUGCAGGAGGACGGCCCUAUGGGUUGUAAACUGCUUUUAUGCGGGGAUAAAGUGGGGGACGUGUCCUUCAUUGCAGGUACCGCAUGAAUAAGGACCGGCUAAUUCCGUG